Molecule: long non-coding RNA, 550 nt
Filed under: Capsicum annuum
Lineage: Eukaryota; Viridiplantae; Streptophyta; Magnoliopsida; Solanales; Solanaceae
Description: long non-coding RNA (CANN_LNC006403)
Source: RNAcentral
CGAGCGAUAUAUAAAAUCAAACUUCAAACUCAAAAAAGCUAAACAUGCCUCUCACGAUUAAAAAUAAAUAAAUUUUUCGAUCCACUAUUCAUACCCAAAUAAUGCAAAAUUGUUUAAACGAUUUCAUUCAUGCUUGUUCGCAGUAAAAUUUAUAAGGAUAAGAGUACAUGACAGAUAAGAACCUGUAUGAUAAACUGAAUCGAAUAUAGAAGCAAAACACCAUCACCGGAAACUCGAACGAAAACCGAAGUUGAAUCUUCUUAUAACCCAAAGAAUUUCUUUCUAACUUUUCUUUUUUUUCUGUUUUUGCUUCACUCUCCUUCCGUUUCUUUUUCUAUAAUCUCUCUUUCUCCUUUUUUUUGUUUUCUUCUCCCUUCUUGAUCCGUAUGUGGUCUAUCCUCCUUGUGUGUGUGCUUUUUGUGUUAUAUAAGGAGUAGCAGAUUGUGAGGGAGUGGGAUUGAGGUGUGGGAGAGACGUGGGUUAUGGGGAUAUUGGGUAGUUUUAGGUUUCUUUUUUUUUUUUUAUUAAUAUUUUAAACAAGGGGGUUUUU